GGGAUAACUAUUGGAAACGAUAGCUAAUACCGCAUAACAAUGGGUGACACAUGUCAUUUAUUUGAAAGGGGCAAUUGCUCCACUACAAGAUGGACCUGCGUUGUAUUAGCUAGUAGGUGAGGUAACGGCUCACCUAGGCGACGAUACAUAGCCGACCUGAGAGGGUGAUCGGCCACACUGGGACUGAGACACGGCCCAG
This 199-nucleotide ribosomal RNA is filed under the name uncultured Streptococcaceae bacterium. RNAcentral's name for it is "partial 16S ribosomal RNA". It matches the Rfam family "Bacterial small subunit ribosomal RNA", at positions 140 to 334 of the family's 1533-position model. The record is from RNAcentral. Lineage: Bacteria; Bacillati; Bacillota; Bacilli; Lactobacillales; Streptococcaceae.